Long non-coding RNA from Mastomys coucha (southern multimammate mouse), 967 nucleotides. RefSeq lists it as uncharacterized. Lineage: Eukaryota; Metazoa; Chordata; Mammalia; Rodentia; Muridae. The transcript has 4 exons. The record is from RefSeq and is a predicted model, not a curated record.
GUGACAGCACUAGAACAGUAACUACAACAGGCCAAGAUCUGUGCCCUUCUACCAGGAGCUCACGUGGCAGCUUUGAAUAGUCCUCUUCUGGAAGGUUACAGAUGUUGAAUUGUACUGGAUCCUGACACAGCAGUUGUAACUGAGACAGCUCCUGAGUAAAACACAAAAGGCCCACCAAACUACAGUGCACUUUUAGACACGGUUUCUAUGGAGAAAGAACAGUCUGGUUGCUUGGAAGGGUCAAGUUCCCAGGAUAUAUUCCAAUUGCCCAGAUUUCCUCUAAACCAUCUCUGGAUCCAGUGAGUGAAGUCCAGAUGCAUCCCACUCGUACAUCUGAGGCAAGAGGACGACUUCAAGGGUCCUUCCCCAGGAACCACCCACCAUGUUUGUUGAGAUGAGUCUCUCACUGGCCAGUGAACAAGAAGAAUCUACCUAAUCGGCGUGCCCAGCACCAGGAUCACAAGUACCAGCUGCUAGGCUCAGUUUAUCACACGGGUUGUGGGGAUCCAACUGUGGUCCUCAUGCUUGCGCACCAAGUAUAUUACCAACUGGGCUAUUGCUUGACCCUGAGACUCUGUUUUUUUUUUUUUUUUUUUAACUGAGAAUUGUGUUUCCUGUAAAAGCUUACACACAACACAAGCAAGGUCCAGGGAACCACGGGGCUUUGCUGAAGGAUGCAGGAUGAGCAUAAAGAACGGCAAUCAUGUUUGGAAACCUGGGCCGCUCUGAUUUCCGGCCCACUACCCACUGCACUGGACAGGUGGCUUGCCUUGUUUCGCGCGUCUCCUCCUUGAGAGAGUGUGAGUGAUGCUGUAAGAGAAAGAAAUGCCAGGUGGAAAAAUUGACAAGUCAGACAUUACACAGCCACUUAAUUUUUAUCUUGUAAUUUUCACAAUCUGAGCAACCAAGUAGAAUCCAUAAAGAAGACACUAAAAUGUGGCCUAAUAAAAUUCAUCUGACCGGGGAU